UACAGAGGGGGCAAGCGUUGUUCGGAAUUACUGGGCGUAAAGGGCGCGUAGGCGGCCUUCUAAGUCGAACGUGAAAUCCCUGGGCUCAACCCAGGAACUGCGUCCGAUACUGGAAGGCUUGAAUCCGGGAGAGGGAUGCGGAAUUCCAGGUGUAGCGGUGAAAUGCGUAGAUAUCUGGAGGAACACCGGUGGCGAAGGCGGCUCUCUGGACCAAUAUUGACGCUGAGAAACGAAAGUGCGGGGAUCAAACAGG
Molecule: ribosomal RNA, 253 nt
Filed under: uncultured bacterium
Lineage: Bacteria
Description: partial 16S ribosomal RNA
Rfam family: Bacterial small subunit ribosomal RNA
Source: RNAcentral